CCUGCCUAGAGUCUCCCAGUGAGAGGGGCUGGGGUGUGAGACUCAGUGUUAAAGCACCUUCCUGUAGUCCCCCCGUGAGGGGCUGGAGUAGGCUCAGCUGUAGAGUACUUACCUAGAAUUCACUAGGCCAGGUCCAUCCUCAGUACUACAGAACUUGGCUUUGGGGAGAAGGGUAUGGCUGGACAAGAGUUAGGUGCACUGAUUGACAGGGAGGUCUUGGGAGCCUACAAAAAUAACAUAGAGGAAAACCCCCAAAGCCCUAUGGAGGAGCCCUUGGAGCCCUGGGAUACCAAGGUGGGGGCUGCUUUGGGAAAUCUUGUGGCCGGAAGAGGAAGUGAUCUUCUGGAGACCCCUGACUCGCGACCUCAUCAACGUUGGUGCUACUGCUUGGUGGAGAAUGUAAACCUUCUAUGACCACCCCCUACUCCAUCCCCUUGACCCCCACCUGGGAGGGGACAACAGGCCAGUGGCCUUGGAAACCCACAGGACAAGGAAAUCAGACAGCAGCGGCCACGUACCCCUAACCAGAAAUUUCCCCCUUUCUUAGAGCCCAGGGGGGGUGCCCCAUCUCUUCCCACCCGGGAGCUCCCCACACACACACAGUCUCCAUCUCCAAGAGAAAUUGGUGCUACAUGUUGGUGCUUCUUUUUCGAGGGGGGAGGGAGAAGAGAAGGGUAUCCCAUGGGGGACCCUCCCUUCCCUGAAACCCCUCUAUUAAGAUGGUGCACACCUUUGUUGGGCAGUCCCACCUCACCCUGCCCACCAGGAGCCAUGCCUGGCUGCAUCCAAUUGGUACCCAAAAGCCAAAAGCCUUGACGCUGGAUUUGGUGACACAAUCCCUCUCUCUUUGGAUCUUUUGGCCCAUAUCCCUCUACCAAUAGCUGUUUCCUACAUCUGGGACACCUUGGAGUCAGAAGACUCCCACACUGGGAAUAAUUCCCUUGUUCUUGUGGAAUCCACCUGCCCGCCAUCCACCCUUCCACCCUUUCAUGAGUCCAUCCUUCCGUCCAACCUGACUGCCUAGUGCCACUAGCUGGCUGGGCACACCCACUAUCAACCUGGUUCUCCUGUCAUGGCAGCCUGUACAGCCUGUCCCCUGUUCCCACCCCCACCACACACCCCAAAUGCUGGCCUGGGGUGCAAGGGGUUGUGCGGGCUGGGGCAAGACUAUCCUCCCCACAUGCAGUACUGUAUCCCCGUCCGUCCCUUCCUGGAGCCGCUCUACCAGAGAGAAUGUCCCACCACCCCACCCACCUCUUUGUGUUUCGCUGUGAUAGAUCAAUAAAUAUUUUAUUUUUUGUCCUGGAUAUUUGGGGAUGAUGUUUGAUUGUUGGUGUGCUCUUUGGGUUUUAUUUUUAUGGUUAAUUGGGGAAAAAUCUUUUCUUAUCUGAGGAGCUGUAUCCUCAGGAGAAAAUUCAUUUUAAUCGCUUUGAUAUAACUCUGGAUGAA
Molecule: long non-coding RNA, 1449 nt
Filed under: Cricetulus griseus (Chinese hamster)
Lineage: Eukaryota; Metazoa; Chordata; Mammalia; Rodentia; Cricetidae
Description: lncRNA (ENSCGRG00000026485.1)
Source: RNAcentral